AUCUAAAAUUUCAAUUGGCAGGUAUUACUUCUGAUAAAUUAAGCCAAGAAAAUUCUGCAGAGGAAGUAUCAGUUACUGAUAAUAUUUAAAUUUUGAGUAGCAAGAACUGCAGAAGAUAUGCAUUAAAUUCUGAAAGAGUUUCCCUCUAACAUGAGCAUAGAGGUCAAUUUAUGUUACUCAGGUGUAAACUCUGGAAAAGCAACAUCUAACAAAGUUCAUUGAAGCUUCUUUGAUCUCAAGCAGUUACAUUAUUAGUGAUGUCCUGAAAGGUUUCAUCUUUUUUUAGGGAAUUGAUUAUAAACCUUUAAGGAUUAGCACAUAAACAGAAAGUUACAUGCAAAUGCCCACAUACCAAAAUUUCGAGUUUUGUCCAUAUAAACUGUGAAAUCCAAAGCAUGUGUAGUGUGCAAGGCAAAUUCAAUCUAAGCGUGUGCGAUUGUGGUUAUAUGAUGUGGCAUUGUUAUUUGCUUAUUUAAUGUGUGGCAUGAAUUUUGGAUACAUCUUUUCAUGGAUGCAAAUUGUGAUUUCGCGUUGCGACCCAAUUGGAAUAUAGGGUGAGGCAUUGUGUGUGUGUUAGAUUUACAUAACUGCAGUAUUUAUGGAUUGAUUGGGUCACAAUAUGCACAGUGGAACCCACAUAUUUGUGUGCUAGAUUUGGUGCACAUCCGGUCAAGUCAACAAUGCCAAAAUUAAAGUCUUCAUUCUAGACUACUA
This 714-nucleotide unclassified non-coding RNA is filed under the name Hevea brasiliensis (rubber tree). The record is from RNAcentral. Lineage: Eukaryota; Viridiplantae; Streptophyta; Magnoliopsida; Malpighiales; Euphorbiaceae.